RNAcentral lists this ribosomal RNA (496 nucleotides) under uncultured bacterium. RNAcentral's name for it is "partial 16S ribosomal RNA". It matches the Rfam family "Bacterial small subunit ribosomal RNA", at positions 28 to 506 of the family's 1533-position model. The record is from RNAcentral.
GAUGAACGCUGGCGGCGUGCCUAAUACAUGCAAGUCGAGCGAACAGACGAGGAGCUUGCUCCUCUGACGUUAGCGGCGGACGGGUGAGUAACACGUGGAUAACCUACCUAUAAGACUGGGAUAACUUCGGGAAACCGGAGCUAAUACCGGAUAAUAUAUUGAACCGCAUGGUUCAAUAGUGAAAGACGGUUUUGCUGUCACUUAUAGAUGGAUCCGCGCCGCAUUAGCUAGUUGGUAAGGUAACGGCUUACCAAGGCAACGAUGCGUAGCCGACCUGAGAGGGUGAUCGGCCACACUGGAACUGAGACACGGUCCAGACUCCUACGGGAGGCAGCAGUAGGAAAUCUUCCGCAAUGGGCGAAAGCCUGACGGGGCAACGCCGCGUGAGUGAUGAAGGUCUUCGGAUCGUAAAACUCUGUUAUUAGGGAAGAACAAAUGUGUAAGUAACUAUGCACGUCUUGACGGUACCUAAUCAGAAGGCCACGGCUAACUACGU